This is a long non-coding RNA of Gavialis gangeticus (Gharial), 107 nucleotides long. RefSeq lists it as uncharacterized. The record is from RefSeq and is a predicted model, not a curated record. The transcript has 3 exons. NCBI's taxonomy places the organism in Eukaryota, Metazoa, Chordata, Crocodylia, Gavialidae.
GCUGUUCCCUCUAAACAUUGUCAUAUACUAUUCAAGGGGCUCCCAGGCCUUUCAUGCCACUUCCUCCCUUCAUAACUGGUCCUCAACAAUCCCGUGUGCUCAUCCUC